CAGAGUGUAGGGUGGGCCGGGGAGGGAAGCGCUGAGCACGGACCCCGCCCCUUCGCGGCUCGGUGCGUGACGUCGCUAGGGGCGCCGGCCUCCGCCCGGCCCCGAGGGGCUCUCCCUGGAGGCCCAGGCCCCUCUGCUCCCCAUGGGCAACUGCCAGGCAGUGCACAACCUGCACCUUUGUCUGGCCCACCACCCACCUCUGGUCUGUGCCACUUUGAUCCUGCUGCUCCUUGGCCUCUCCGGCCUGGGCCUUGGCAACUUCCUCCUUACCCACAGGACUGGCCUACGCAGCCCUGACAUCCCUCAGGACUGGGUCUCUUUUUUGAGAUCUUUUGGCCAGCUGACCCUGUGUCCCCGGAAUGGGACAGUCACAGGGAAGUGGCGAGGGUCUCACGUCGUGGGCUUACUGACCACCUUGAACUUCGGAGACAGUCCAGACAGGAACAAGACCCGGACAUUCCAGGCCACAGUCCUGGGUAGUCAGAUGGGAUUGAAAGGAUCUGCUGCAGGACAACUGGUCCUCAUCACAGCCAGGGUGACCACAGAAAGGACUGCAGGAACCUGCUUGUAUUUUAGUGCUGUUCCAGGAAUCCUGCCCUCCAGCCAGCCACCCAUAUCCUGUUCAGAGGAGGGGGCCGGAAAUGUCACCCUGAGCCCUAGAAUGGGUGAGGAGUGCAUUAGGGUCUGGAGCCACGAAGGCCUUGUGCUAACCAAGCUGCUCACUUCGGAGGAGCUGGCUCUGUGUGGCUCUAGGCUGCUGGUCUUGGGCUCCUUCCUGCUUCUCUUCUGUGGCCUCUGCUGUGUCACUGCUGUGUGCUUCCACCCGCGCCGGGAGUCCCACUGGUCUAGAACCCGGCUCUGAGGGCACUGGCCUAGUUCCCGACUCGUUUCUCAGACAGAAUUAUACAUAUUCUUUUGUGGCUGACUUCUUUCAAGAAACAUUGUGAUUUUAAGACUCAUCCAUAACUCUAGUUCACAUCCAAGCAUUUGGGUAACAAUGGUGUGAAUCUUCUUUGGCCUUGGCUCUGAGUUGGAAAAGGUUUUAGAAAAAAUUGAAAAGCUGGAAUGUGGGGGAAAAUAAAAGCUUUUUUGCCCA
RNA transcript from Sapajus apella (tufted capuchin), 1096 nucleotides. It is a transcript of the gene named transmembrane protein 219, with no coding region annotated. Lineage: Eukaryota; Metazoa; Chordata; Mammalia; Primates; Cebidae. The record is from RefSeq and is a predicted model, not a curated record. The transcript is spliced from 7 exons.